UGAUAAUAACAACAUUCAACUAUACAAGCUAAGCAAACAAUAUCCAAUAACCAAUAUAAAGGCUAAAUCCCAAUUUAUGACCAUUCAAGGUUACUACCUCACAUUAUACAAUUCAAUAACAAUUUCCACAAUUCAACAUAGCUAAGAUCAUAUAAGAACAGCCCACAUCAAACCACUGAUAAUCCUUCAUCAAUUACUCAAAAUCAAUAGACACACUUUAGGC
RNAcentral lists this long non-coding RNA (223 nucleotides) under Solanum tuberosum (potato). RNAcentral's name for it is "long non-coding RNA (STUB_LNC003669)". The record is from RNAcentral. Lineage: Eukaryota; Viridiplantae; Streptophyta; Magnoliopsida; Solanales; Solanaceae.